RNAcentral lists this long non-coding RNA (2510 nucleotides) under Aquilegia coerulea. RNAcentral describes it as "long non-coding RNA (ACOE_LNC000608)". Lineage: Eukaryota; Viridiplantae; Streptophyta; Magnoliopsida; Ranunculales; Ranunculaceae. The record is from RNAcentral.
CAUCUUCAGGAUUAGUUAACAUUAUAGGCAGCCUUUUAGUUGGAACUUCUUUUUUCUUGAAGGUAGUAAUUUACUUAUCAUCCAUUAUGAAUUCUUGUAUUGUUGUCAAUACUUUGCUCAAUGGACUGAGAGGCCUCCAUUAUUAACAAUUACUGGUUUCUUUUCUUGGUUCUUCCAAUAUGAUGAAGAGGAUAUGGACGCAUAUGUGGAAGAUUUGGAUAUGGAGGUCAAUUUGACAAUAACCUUUUCAUAUAAUUACUUAGAGGGGUCAGUAUAGGUACUACUCUUUACAUGCAGUUUACUUGCUUUAUUUUUGUGGUUAAGAAUAUUUAGGAUGAGGACUCAGAUGAACGAUAUCAAUCACCAAUGUAUUUAAGGUGGCUCAAGAGCUUUGGUUAUCUUGCUAGGUAGUCCCAUUAAAUACCUUCGCAAUUGAGUAAUUACACCAGAGUUGAAUUUAACUGUAUCUUCUUCCAUAAAGAUUCUGAUAGUGAUAAGACCUUCCAAUACAACCAAACAUCCGUGAAUUACCUUAGUUGUAGUUCUAUUUAUAGCAACACACUUUCGCCAAAUAUGGAAGCACACGGAUCACAAAUGCUUAUUCAUGUUUUCUCACAGUAUACCUUUCAUUGAUUCCAAUUAUGCUACUGUUAUAAGAACACCUAGGCUUUUAAGUAAAAAAAAAAAAUCCAAAAAAUAAUCGAACUAAGUUUCCAAUUUAUUUACUUGUGUAUAACUAUAAGUACUCAUUUUUUUUUUUGUAACUUCAUACUCAUGCAGCGUAGAUCAAGAAUAUUAGAAACUUCGUGUUUCGAUGCUCAUUUAACCUUCUGUCCUUUAAGUUAUCCCCAUCUCUCUUCUAUAUCUUUGAUUGAUUGAUUAUUUGUAAUUUUAGCUUGAUUUGUUUUUCUCAACUGCAGAAUUUGGAAUUUAUUCACACCAGAAUUUCAAUUAUAGGAACCAGUUCUCAAUUACAAAGCCUUCUUUUAUUUUACUUCGUCUGUGAAGACAAGACAUCAAAAGACACAAGCUAGGUGAGAUUGAUAAUUUGAUAUUGAAUUUUAUUUUCUCUAAAUUUUUGAUUCUUUAUGUCUUCUAUACCUUAAUUCUUACUCCAAUAAAAAAAACCUCACUUUCCCUAUCUCUUUCUCACAAGUCUCACAUUUACCAUCUCAAGCUGAUUAAUUACCUCAUGUUCUUGUUCAAGUAAGGCUUAUAUUGUCUGAACCGGCCAAAGCUAUAUAGAUUUUGAUAUGUUCCAUACUUGAAAAUGAAAAAGGUGGAAAACAGGGCUCGUUAGAUCAGCUAUGACAACCUGAACUCAUUGUUGGUGUCUUGAAAAUUAUGAAAGCAAUAUAGCAGUGUUUUGUAUAUUGUUCAGCCAUAUCCAUGUCAUAAUUAACACAACUUAGAUUAAGAUUUCCGGUUACGUUUUUAUGACAUAUCCAUAAUCUGCUUAAAAAUUUAACAUAGUUGCUUUGUACUUCUUUGUGUUAAAUAUUUAUUAACUUUUGCAUAUGAUAUAUUUGCAGAGAUUUAGCAAAUUUAUUGCAAAGGAAAAGCAAAACAAGGAUUAUUAGGGUUCUUGGAGGUGAUAGAUGUAUAAGGUUCGUUCUACAAGGAUUCUAAAUGUCUUAUUUCUAUCAACUCUGGUUAAUUUGUAUCUUCUGCCAUGUCUUACUUCUUACUGCACAUUUAAUCAGGUUUAGUUAGUAUAUGAAGACCACAUAUUUGUACGUGAUGUCUGAACAUACCUAUAAAUUUUGUGUAUGAGUCUUUUGGCUUGAUAAUGGAUGUUGGGUUGUUGGAAUUGACUUAUAAACCAAAAUGGCAACACAGGUUCAUUUUGAUAUUUAUUUUUUUCGUUAAAUUGAUUGGUCUUUGAAGUACGUGAUGUCUCUUAAAACUCCAAUAACUGAUAACAUACCUAUAAAUUUUGUGGUUUUUGUUUGUAUGGGUUUAUUUGAAUAUUCGUUUCAUGGCUUCUUCGAUGCUUAACUGGGAUAUAUAUUACUAAUAGGUCCUUAAGCUGCUGGGACAUUGGACGGAGGGUAUUAGGAACGAUGCGUUUGAAAAUUAAAACUGUGGAUCUCAAUGAUCAAAAUUAAAUAUGAUAGUGAUGGAUGUUGGUGGUGGCACUGGGUUUACAGUUUACUAAUUUUGGGUAUAGUUAAGCUAAGCAUGUUAAUGCCAACAAUGUUACAAUUCUUGACAAGUGACAUAAUAUGCUCGCCAAGGCAACAUGUGAAGAUUAACAAGAUAAUUGGAGCUGAUGUUGAGUUCCUCCCGUUCCCAAUUGAUUAGGCAGAUAGAGAUGUGUCAGAUAGAAGCUAAAUGUCAACUAUUCUUGUUUUAGAAACAUUGGGUUUUAUUUAGUCAAUGACAAAACUAUUACACUAAAAUUAGUCAUAUAUUACGAUUUUAUUGUGUAUUCUAGCUUACGUAUUAUUUUCUUUUUCUCAGCAUUAACUACUGGCCAGAUCCGCAAAAUGGAAUCAAGGAAGUAUAGG